UACGUAGGGGGCAAGCGUUGUCCGGAUUUACUGGGCGUAAAGAGCGCGUAGGCGGACGUUUAAGUGUGGCCUGAAAGCCCCCGGCUCAACCGGGGAUCCGGGUUGCAAACUGGGCGUCUUGAGGGGGAUAGGGGAAGGUGGAAUUCCUGGUGUAGCGGUGAAAUGCGUAGAUAUCUGGAGGAACACCGGUGGCGAAGGCGGCAUCCUGGACCAAUAUUGACGCUGAGGAGCGAAAGCCAGGGGAGCAAACGGG
RNAcentral lists this ribosomal RNA (253 nucleotides) under uncultured bacterium. RNAcentral's name for it is "partial 16S ribosomal RNA". It matches the Rfam family "Bacterial small subunit ribosomal RNA", at positions 524 to 776 of the family's 1533-position model. The record is from RNAcentral.